RNAcentral lists this ribosomal RNA (864 nucleotides) under Triticum aestivum (bread wheat). RNAcentral's name for it is "partial small subunit ribosomal RNA". The record is from RNAcentral. Lineage: Eukaryota; Viridiplantae; Streptophyta; Magnoliopsida; Poales; Poaceae.
AUGGUGAGUGUGGGCAUUAAGGAGGAAUUUGAGCAAUAUGUUCACAAUGCCGAUCUCGUUCCCUACAUUUUAGAUAAGUGCAGCCAACACCUCACUCUCAUUGAAUCAUUUUUCAAAGGAUUUAAGUUCCAUCCCCGUGAGUCUAGGGUGUCAUUUAAAUUAUAUGAAAAUCCAUUUACUAUAUCUUUAGAGAGAUUCGCUCACCACUGCAAAAUCCCAUUCUGGGGUUUGCUUGAUGAACCACCAAGGUCUGAGUUUGAGAUAUCCUUGACUAGUCUUUUCUAUGGUGAGACUAGGGGAGUGACGCAAGGUAGAAUAAAGAGCAUUCAUUUUCCUGCAAUCCAGUACUUCGCAUUAUUUAAUGGAAAAUGUAUUGUAGGAAAACAAGAUUGUAGUACACUUUGUGCUCCAGACUUGAGCCUCAUAUGCACCGCCCUCACCGGUGACGAAAGUUAUAAUCUUAGAGCUAUUGUUGCACAUAGGUUGCAACACAACGCUGGUAGUGGAUAUUUUUAUGGUGGAAUUUAUGCCACAUGCUUAGCAAGAGAGCUGGGUGUUUCACCUUUGCCCUGUGAUCCUAUUUUACCCACGCAGUACCUAGACUUUGAUGCUAUGAAACAUCAUAAGAUCCUUAGAGGUGAAUCCCAUAAUUUCACUUAUAAAUUUUUGUUUAAUAAGGACUCCGUGGUGGACACAUAUUUGCCUGCACCUGCUCUCUUUAAUGUUCACAACAUGGGAAGAUAUUUUGUUAUUGAGAGCGAGGCCCGAGCCCAUAACGCCGUGAUUGUGGCUGCACGGCGGGCUGAGCUAUCCACACCGAGAGCCUCCGUGCGCUACCACUCGAACCAUUACACAGGCUACUGA